This 460-nucleotide ribosomal RNA is filed under the name uncultured bacterium. RNAcentral's name for it is "partial 16S ribosomal RNA". It matches the Rfam family "Bacterial small subunit ribosomal RNA", at positions 338 to 795 of the family's 1533-position model. The record is from RNAcentral.
CCUACGGGAGGCAGCAGUGAGGAAUAUUGGUCAAUGGGCGCAAGCCUGAACCAGCCAAGUCGCGUGAGGGAUGAUGGUCCUAUGGAUUGUAAACCUCUUUUGUCGGGGAGCAAGGCCCGCCACGUGUGGCGGGAAGGAGAGUACCCGAAGAAAAAGCAUCGGCUAACUCCGUGCCAGCAGCCGCGGUCAUACGGAGGAUGCGAGCGUUAUCCGGAUUUAUUGGGUUUAAAGGGUGCGUAGGCGGAAGGUUAAGUCAGCGGUAAAAUGUCGGUGCUCAACACCGGCCUGCCGUUGAAACUGGUCUUCUUGAGUGAGCGAGAAGUAUGCGGAAUGCGUGGUGUAGCGGUGAAAUGCAUAGAUAUCACGCAGAACUCCGAUUGCGAAGGCAGCAUACCGGCGCUCAACUGACGCUGAGGCACGAAAGCGUGGGGAUCGAACAGGAUUAGAUACACUGGUAGUC